UUUAGCGAUACCUCAAAUGCCCAUAGUGCGGGGUAUUACGGGAGGGGCGUGUUUUUACAUUUGUGCGAGGUCUUCGAUGCAUGACUUGAAGUGGCCAGGAUUGAAGUGGUGCACAGCAUAGGUGGGCAGAUGAUUCCAUUCGUUUGCUGUUCGAAUGAAAAACGAGUUGAGAUGCACAGUAGUGUGUGCAGACUGUGAGUACACAGCUUUAGAAUGACUGUUGCAGAGCGAAAGGCAAUGAGCAGGUAUGAUAAUAGAGCAAGCAAGAGACCAGUGAUAAAACUUGUGGUAGAGGGGCAGGCGCGCUAUUUUUCUGCGUGACUCAAGACGGGUAAGAUUAGCUCUGUUUUAGUUAAGAGACCUAGAAGAGCGAGUAAUCUGAGAAAAUAAAUCUAAUAGCGUGGUUUUGGAUUAAUUCAAGAGCUUUUUGUAGGUUAACCUGAUGCGGGUCCCAAACUGUACAUGCGUAUUCCAGCUUCGGACAAGCAAACAUUUGGUACAUGAGCAGUUUUAUAUGGGACGCGGUAAACUUAAGGUCACGCCGGACAUAGCCAAGGACACUGCUAGCUUCGUUUGUUAGACUUGUGAUACGACCAGCUGAGAUCACGAGUCGCUGUGACACCCAGGACUUGCAUGAUGACACUAAAGAUAACUCUGAACCAAAAACGACUAUGUGCUUGACAAAGAAAGACUUACACUGACCAAAUAAAACUCUAAAAGCAAGACUUCCAAAUCGAAGCCUUGUUCACGAUGGGUUAACAAUAGUUCACAAAUUUUUCACAAUGGGUUCAGCCGAAACGUCUUGCAUUUGAAGUUUUAUUUGGUCAGUGUAAGUCUUUCUUCAUGUUCCAUCCUGACCAGACAGGCUUCCGUUGAACUCUCGAUUACGCCUAUGUGCUUGGUAGGAAGCUCGGUGGUGGAAGAUCUCUGAAGUUUUCCUGACAUUUAAAGACAUUAACAAAGUUCGACACCAGUUUUUCAACCAUUAGUAAAUCAUUUUGAAGGGCAAUGCUAUCGUGGAAGCUAUUAAUAGGCUGGUCAAGGACAAUCGUGUGCGAAAAGGCAAAUAGAGGAGAUGUUAGUCUGUAGGUCAUUGAUAAAGAUGAGAAAAAAGUAUGUGCAUAGAUUUUGUGUCUGGGAUUAACUAGUGCACUAUGUCCAGUAGACAACAGCAGACAACAGAAAGGAGUCGGGCAACAUAACCUAUUGCACAUGUGCCCCCAAGUCAAGCCACGACCACUCUUUGUCGUCUGUUGCAAAGUAGCACGUUCAAUGGAAUGUACCUGCAUGGCACGGUAGGCAACAAAAACGAGUCUAGUUUCUGCAGCACUACAAAAGUUGACAGUGCAGGCAGGAAGAGUGAGCAGACACGAACUGGACAUGCCAACACCCUGGUGUGCUGUUCACAGCACUGAACGCUAAUAAGUACAAAACUUUGGGAUAAUUGCUCGAAAGUAUUCACCUUGCUUUUUGGAUAAGUAAUGCCCGUGGACUGAAUGAUAUUUACUUGAAAAAAUAAGGUUGUGGAAACUUA
Dermacentor silvarum is the source of this 1534-nucleotide long non-coding RNA. RefSeq lists it as uncharacterized. The record is from RefSeq and is a predicted model, not a curated record. The transcript is spliced from 2 exons. Lineage: Eukaryota; Metazoa; Arthropoda; Arachnida; Ixodida; Ixodidae.